CUCAGGACGAACGCUGGCGGCGUGCUUAACACAUGCAAGUCGAACGAUGAAGCACCAGCUUGCUGGUGUGGAUUAGUGGCGAACGGGUGAGUAACACGUGAGUAACCUGCCCCUCACUCUGGGAUAAGCCUGGGAAACUGGGUCUAAUACUGGAUACGACCGAUCUCCGCAUGGAGUGUUGGUGGAAAGUUUUUGUGGUGGGGGAUGGACUCGCGGCCUAUCAGCUUGUUGGUGGGGUAAUGGCCUACCAAGGCGACGACGGGUAGCCGGCCUGAGAGGGCGACCGGCCACACUGGGACUGAGACACGGCCCAGACUCCUACGGGAGGCAGCAGUGGGGAAUAUUGCACAAUGGGCGAAAGCCUGAUGCAGCGACGCCGCGUGAGGGAUGACGGCCUUCGGGUUGUAAACCUCUUUCACCAGGGACGAAGCUAACGUGACGGUACCUGGAGAAGAAGCACCGGCUAACUACGUGCCAGCAGCCGCGGUAAUACGUAGGGUGCGAGCGUUGUCCGGAAUUAUUGGGCGUAAAGAGCUUGUAGGCGGUUUGUCGCGUCUGCUGUGAAAGACCGGGGCUUAACUCCGGUUCUGCAGUGGGUACGGGCAGACUAGAGUGUGGUAGGGGAGACUGGAAUUCCUGGUGUAGCGGUGAAAUGCGCAGAUAUCAGGAGGAACACCGAUGGCGAAGGCAGGUCUCUGGGCCAUUACUGACGCUGAGAAGCGAAAGCAUGGGGAGCGAACAGGAUUAGAUACCCUGGUAGUCCAUGCCGUAAACGUUGGGCGCUAGGUGUGGGACUCAUUCCACGAGUUCCGUGCCGCAGCUAACGCAUUAAGCGCCCCGCCUGGGGAGUACGGCCGCAAGGCUAAAACUCAAAGGAAUUGACGGGGGCCCGCACAAGCGGCGGAGCAUGCGGAUUAAUUCGAUGCAACGCGAAGAACCUUACCAAGGCUUGACAUACACCGGAAUCAUGCAGAGAUGUGUGCGUCUUCGGACUGGUGUACAGGUGGUGCAUGGUUGUCGUCAGCUCGUGUCGUGAGAUGUUGGGUUAAGUCCCGCAACGAGCGCAACCCUCGUUCCAUGUUGCCAGCACUUCAAGGGGGGGA
This 1103-nucleotide ribosomal RNA is filed under the name Dermacoccus sp. RNAcentral's name for it is "bacterial SSU rRNA". It matches the Rfam family "Bacterial small subunit ribosomal RNA", at positions 23 to 1137 of the family's 1533-position model. The record is from RNAcentral. Lineage: Bacteria; Bacillati; Actinomycetota; Actinomycetes; Micrococcales; Dermacoccaceae.